UACGUAGGGUGCGAGCGUUAAUCGGAAUUACUGGGCGUAAAGCGUGCGCAGGCGGUUAUGCAAGACAGAGGUGAAAUCCCCGGGCUCAACCUGGGAACUGCCUUUGUGACUGCAUGGCUAGAGUACGGUAGAGGGGGAUGGAAUUCCGCGUGUAGCAGUGAAAUGCGUAGAUAUGCGGAGGAACACCGAUGGCGAAGGCAAUCCCCUGGACCUGUACUGACGCUCAUGCACGAAAGCGUGGGGAGCAAACAGG
Molecule: ribosomal RNA, 253 nt
Filed under: uncultured bacterium
Lineage: Bacteria
Description: partial 16S ribosomal RNA
Rfam family: Bacterial small subunit ribosomal RNA
Source: RNAcentral